UGUAAAUGUAAAUUUUAAAACCAGGGUAGUAAUAGUUAUGUUCUUGAAACCCAAAGAAUUUGGCGGUAUUUUAGUCCUUUCAGAGGAAUCUGUCCCGUGAUCGACAGUCCACGAGAUAUUUUACUUAUUCUUGUUUUCAGUUUGUAUACCUCCGUCAUAAGAAGAUCUUUUUAGAGAUGGAAUUUUCUUAAUAUAUUAAAUAUAAUAUGUCAGGUCAAGGUGCAAUUUAUGAAUAAGUGGAGAUGGAUUACAAUAAAUUUAUUUAAAUGGAUUAGAUUAUUAGUUUUUUUAUGAAGGUGGAUUUGAUAGUAAUUUUAAUUAUUUGUUAUUAUGAUUUUGGCUCUAAAAUAUGC
RNAcentral lists this ribosomal RNA (353 nucleotides) under Gomphus simillimus. RNAcentral's name for it is "partial 12S ribosomal RNA". Lineage: Eukaryota; Metazoa; Arthropoda; Insecta; Odonata; Gomphidae. The record is from RNAcentral.